Loxodonta africana (African savanna elephant) is the source of this 1760-nucleotide long non-coding RNA. RefSeq lists it as uncharacterized. The transcript is spliced from 3 exons. The record is from RefSeq and is a predicted model, not a curated record. NCBI's taxonomy places the organism in Eukaryota, Metazoa, Chordata, Mammalia, Proboscidea, Elephantidae.
GUUGCAGACAAGACAGUGCACUUUCAGACCGCACCAGUGGUGAUGUGCUCUCCCAGGCCAACCUGGGGCUCCAGUGCUUGGUGCUUAAGGUCUGUCUUCCAUCUCUGCUCCACCCUCAGUCCAGCUGUGAAAAUUCUCCAGCAUCCUUCAGCCUGCCUCAGCCCGCAGUCUCUCCCUCAUUCCCGCCACGACCUAGCCUUCUGCGACCCAGUCCCAGCCCAGUGAGGCUGACUGGAGAGAACCUCAGCCAGAGGCUUUGGGAGGCCAGGGGCCAGAUAAGAAUGAUACUCCCCCAACGUCUGGGGUCUUAAAAGCCUGUGAGCAGCCAUCUAAGAUACUCCAUUGGUCUCACCCCUUCGAGAGCAAGGGAGAAUGAAGAAAACUAAAGAUAUAAUGGAAAGAUUAGUCCCAAGGACGAAUAGACCGCAGCUACCACAGCCUGCGCCAGACUGAGUGCAGUACAACUAGGUGGUGCCUGGCUACCACCACUGACUGCUCUGACAGGGAUCAUAUAAUACAGGGCCCCAGAUGGGGCUGGAGAGAAAUGCAGAGUAAAAUUCGAAUUCACAAAAAAAAAGACCAGACUUACUGGCCUGACAGAGACUAGAGAAACCCUGAGAGUAUGGCCCCAGAACACCCUUUUAGCUCAGUAACAAGUCACUCCUGAGGUCUCCCAGUCAGCUGAAGAUAAGACAGGCCCAUAAAAUAAAAUGAGACUAAAGGGUCACACCAGCCCAGGGGCAAGGAGUAGAAGGUAGGAGGGGACAGGAAAGCUGGUACUAGGGAACUCAGGGUCAAGAAAGGAGAGUCAUGGGGUUGUUAACUAAUGUCAUAAAACAAUCUGUGUACUGUUUAAUGAGAAACUAGUUUAUUCUAUAAACCCUCUUCUAAAGCACAAUAAGAAAAAAAAAUGAUACUCACCUAAAUGAAAUCUAGUAUUCUGUGUUGGAUCCUGGGAUAAGAAAAGGACAUCUAGUGAAAAAAAACUGGUAAAAUCUGAAUAAAGUCUGGAGUGAAAUUCACGGCAUUAAUGUUAAUUUCCUUGUUUUGGUAAGUGGAUGUUAACAUUAGGGGAAGCUGGGUGAAGGGUAUUUGGGGAGUCUGUAUACUGUUUUUGUAAUUCUUGUCUAAAUCUAAAAUUAUUCCAAAAUAACAUUUUUAAAAAUAAUAUUCACAAAUCGUACAGAAUAUGGGAAAGUUUUGGCUAAGAUAUUAAGGGAAAAAAGCAAAAUUCAAAAUUGCAUAACAGUGUGAUUGCAAUUAUGCAGAAAAUUUAUUUCAUAGGAAAAAAGACAAAAAGAAAAUAUGCAAAUUAUCAACAGUUGUUGCUUGGAACCAUGAAACUGAGAGUAAUUUAAAUCCUUUCUUUUUUUUUUUAACGUUUCCCAAUUUUUCCUUGAUAUGGGAUCUGAACUAGUCAGAGCUCUUAAGAGGCUGCAAACAUCAGAAGGGGCUGGUUAACUUCCGGACAAAAGGACUUUAGGGAAAAGUCAGGGAUUCAGGCCCCCAAAAUGGGCAGGGCAAAGGGAGGGUGGCAGCAAGCCCACGCAGCCCAGGCCACAGGGCCGCCACCUGCAUCCACUGCCCUGCUUGUAUGACUUUGGGGGCCAGGUUCAAAUUCUAGAUCUUGGAUAAGUUUUUUUUUUGCUUAUUUUAUGUAUUUAUUAUUAUUGUACUUUAGAUGAAGGUUUACAGAAUAAACUAGUUUCUCAUUAAAGAGUUAGUACACAUAUUGUUUUAUGACAUUAGUUAACAACCUC